CAGUCGCCACGGGAAUACGUAGGGUGCAAGCGUUAAUCGGAAUUACUGGGCGUAAAGCGUGCGUAGGCGGACUGAUAAGUCAGGGGUGAAAUCCCAAGGCUCAACCUUGGAACUGCCUUUGAUACUGUUUGUCUUGAGUUCGAGAGAGGUAAGUGGAACUGCGAGUGUAGAGGUGAAAUUCGUAGAUAUUCGCAGGAACACCAGUGGCGAAGGCGGCUUACUGGCUCGAAACUGACGCUGAGGCGCGAAAGCGUGGGGAGCAAACAGGAUUAGAUACCCCCGUAGUCCCUGUCUCUUAUAC
This 301-nucleotide ribosomal RNA is filed under the name uncultured bacterium. RNAcentral's name for it is "partial 16S ribosomal RNA". It matches the Rfam family "Bacterial small subunit ribosomal RNA", at positions 509 to 807 of the family's 1533-position model. The record is from RNAcentral.